GAUUUCGGUAAUUUUCUCCUGUUAACGUAUCUGGCAAAGAUGGGAUUCUGAAGCAGCCCCUGAAUUCCUUUUCCUGUGUCACCCAGGACACCAGGUACAGCCAAGGUCCCUUUGAAAAAGUCCAGUUGUUCCUGACUAUGCUGGGAAAGGAUCUGGGUAAGUGCUAUCAAAAUCCAAGAUCUCCCACUUUUAGGUUGCAGACUUGAUUUCUUCUUUUAGGCCUCCUCCAUCUGUGGAACUCCGGAGGAGACCCUCCUGCUGGCCUUGGGUUUGGGAGGGCAUUCCUAGUUCUUCUCAGUCCUUUCUGUUCUCCUCCCUGGACCCCGGAGGGAACAUCUCUCCUAGCCUUGGGUUUGGAGGAGGCCUUCCUGAUUCCCUCCAUCCAAGGGCCCUGGAGAAAAUGCAUUUGUGGGCUCCGGGCUUAUGGAGAGGCAUUCAGGUUGGAUUCAACUGGUUCAUAAGGUUUGUGGGGAUGCUCACACUAAGGGCACUGGAAGAGAUAUCUUCAUAAAGUCAGUGCAAUAGGUAACUUACCCACUAGGGGCAGGAACUCCUGUAGAAGUUCAAAGGCAUGCCAGGUUUUCCAGCACUUCAGCUAGCUGCAUAUUGUGGCCUGUUCUUGUGCACAUUUUAAAACUGAACGGGCAAAUUACAGCAAGGAAAAUUCAGAGCUCAAAUGCCCAACCUGCAACUAUACAAUUAAAAUGUAGAGUUUUCUAAAGCUAUCUCUUUUUUGUUUUCGGCCUGCUUUGAAUUUGCUGUUAUUAAGCUACUGCUGUUAAGAUAAAACUCAUUGUUUAUGAUACUACUAAUUCAAGGCUACUUGGAGCUUUCUUUACAGUUCAGCCAAUUGUAGCUAAAAUGUAAACACUGAAAACUCAUUUGAAACUUCAGGAAAAAAAAAAGGGGUAAAAGGUUUUUAAAAAUAAAACUGCCAUGAAAACUACUUUUCCCAAGACUUUGGUCCAUAGCCUUCAUUGGAUUACCUACUGGGACAAAUAAAGUUUAGCCAUGUGAACAGGUCCCAAUUUUGUCAGAAAUAAUUUGGAUCCAGCUGUCUUUUGUUAAGUGGUGAGUCUGUAUUACCAUCUCAUGGCUAAGGUUCCAGAGUAAAAGCUGUAAGAUCUUUGUGUGUAUGUGUUUAAAUGUUUGUAUAUGAACAUGUAUUAUGUUGUGUUGUAUCUAGCAUGGUACCAAACUGGUUUAUAAGUAAAUUAUACUCAUAAAUUAAGUAAGUCCAAAUACUUUUCAGAUUCAUGUGAACUUAGUAAUCUGGUAAAUAAAAUGGUUUUAAAAUUAUUGGUAAAAUAAAACUAGAAAUGUCUUCAGAAUUGUCAGCAUACAUUUUUUUUUUAGUCUGGGUUUACUGAUUAUUUUAUAUUUGCCUCCGCUAGGUGUUUUAAGGUAUCAGGAUUUGGCACAAAAGAUUAUAAGACUAUAAACCCAGUCAAAAAGAGAAUGAUCUUUGUGUGAAUUUUUUGACAAAUAAGACUAAUUUAAUAUUGUUGGUUCAAUGAAAACAGCUAAGUUGUUAGCUGUUUUGUUAGCUUCUGAGUUGUUGGCAAAAAUAUCCACAUGUUUAAGGUUCUGACUUAAAUGAACAUCUGAUAUUCACAGGCUACAAAAAUGGUUAACAGGUCAUACAGGUUACUAAACAGCUGAUGACUCGUCACAUAGAACUUACAGGUAAGUCACUGUUGUAACCUUGCUUUUUGGCUCUUCUGUUGCUCAAAAGGUUUUUAAGGGUUAAUGAGUGCCUGUUCACCUCCAUCCUCAUCUGGCCUAGAAUGUUUAAUUGGCUCCAAGUCCCUUGGCCAUAAGGAUCCCACCAAAGAACAGAAUGAACCUGCAGCAGGUAGCCACACCACCCCGGCAAAGAUAUGGGAAAAAAUAAAUGUUUGGUCACCAAUGUCAUCUCUGGCACAUCUUGGCUAAAAGGGGAGAAUGUAAACUCAGCCUCCCAAAGUGCUGGGAUUACAGACAUGAGCUACCAUGCUUGGCCAGAAACACGUUUCUAAAAAUUGUGACGUGAUUCUCAUCUUUAAAGUGCUGAUAGAGAACAGACAAUUCAAUAUUUCUUGCCUCCUAGGUUUUCACUAAAAUUUAAGGUUACUAAGAGUAAGAAUUUUAGUUAAUAUAGAAUUCUAUAUAUAAAAUGUGCCAAAUAAAUGUGUUCUUAUGGAGAAAAAGAAUAAUUUUAUUUAAUUUGGAUGUUAUUUAAAGGUUAGUUAUGAAAGAAGGUAGAAAACCAGUAAGUAGGAGAGAUGUGAAAAAAGUUAGCUAUGAAGAUGUAUUUUUGGUAAGGAAGGUUCAAAAGAGAAUAAUUUCAUAUAUGAAAGUAUCUUGCAGGGUAAAUUUCUGUCCUAAAGUAAAAUGACUGGUUAUUAAGGAAAGGGGAAAUUUAGUACAAAUCAGAAAGUACAAGCAUGUUAUAGAUGGUCUAAGUUGUGAUAAGGUUUGUGAGAGAAUACUUAUGAAAAGCAUUUUGUGUGGGAUUAAGUUGGCUAUAAUUAAAAUUAUUUAUAAAAGUCUUUCUAAAUUUUGGUCCCUUGUUUUAAAAGAAAGUUGUCUUAAAAUAUGAUUUACUCUUAAUACAAUUAAAAGAGGUUUUGAUUUUUAAUUCUAAACCUGUUUCUUGUUGAAAACUUCUCAGAUUAGUAUCUUGGAAGUUCCACUUUUGCUGCGUCUUGCUACUUUGUUUUUCUCCCCCUUUGAGAAGGCCUGAGAUGAUAACUUUUCCCUUCAACUGUUUUGCCAGCUCCUGUAACUUUUUCCCUCUGGUUCUAACUGCCACUGUGGCCUGAUGCUAAAAUGUUUUAUCUUGAAGGUCUCGAAGAGCAAUGUUUUCCUACAGUAUACCUUGAUUCUGUACUCUUGGCUUUUCCUGAUAUCCGAAUUGUUCCAUAUAACCAGAAAACUUCCCAUGCUGUUAUUAAGAGUCAUGUAUUCCCCGGCUCAAGGUACAGUUUUCUAGUUUCCUGUUUCCUCCAUAACAUAAAGUUCAUUCAUGACCCCAGACACACUCUUCUUGUGUCUGAUUAAUUCAAGUAAACUUUUUACAGUUUGAUUUCCAAGUUAUCUAAAUGGGCUUCUCAUAGGAGAAGCAACCACACUGUAGGUUUUUCUUUGCCUUUUUGGUAACUGGCCUAAGAACCAAAGAUUUUACAUUUUAUCAAGAUAAUUCCCAUGUUUUCUUUAUUAGAUUUUUUAUUACUUAGGAAAACUAAGCUUUAAAAGGGUUAAGGUUUUUACAUCCAUGUGACUUUCCAUAUUGCAUUUAAAGUCUUUUGAUUAUUACUCUUGGUUUAAUGAAUAACUAUUACAAUGACCUGUAAUUCCAUUUUGAUUAAAAGCUUUGAGCCUUUGAACAUCUUUGACAAAUGUCCUCAAAAUCAAAUAAACAUUGCUAAUUCUUCAUGUUUUGCUUUUCAGAGUCAAUAAAACCUUUUUUCUUUUAAACUAUUUACAGCUUACAGAAAUUGGGUAAAACAUUGAAGAUUACCUUUCUCUCUACCUAGUAUCUCUAGAAUUUGAAAACUAUUCAAUCCCCCUAGGCCAAUCUGCUUUCCAUUGCCAAGGCACUACUGCUAAAGCAAUACAGUAUCAAGCACCCUCCCAGUAGGCCCAUGGACUAUCACAGAAGGGGUGGGCACAUGAGAUUGUAAGGGCCAGUUUCAACAGAUAAAAUUAGUUCAGACCCUCCAAAUUAAAGAUGGGCAUACAGAUUACCAAACAGCUCAUGGCUCAACACACAGAACUCAUAGACAAGUCACUUUUGUAACACUGCUUUUUGGUUAUGUUGCUCAAAAGGUUUUUAAGGGUUAAUGCGUGCCUGUGAACCUCCAUCUUCAUCUGGCCUCCAAUGUUUAAUUAGUUUUAAGUCUUUUGGUUCCAAGUCCCUUGGCCACAGGGAUCCCACCAAAGAACAAAAUGAGCCUGGGGCAGGUAACGACACCACCCUGGCAGUGACAUGAGACAAAAUAAAUGUUUGGUCAUCAGUGUUGCCUCUGGCACAUCUUGGCUAAAAGGGGAGAAUGUAAACUAAAAAUAAAAUCCUAAGACUCCUCCCCUACAGAUUGAAUGGACCCCCUCUUGGCCAAGGGGACCCCAGAAAAUUCUUAAAAACGGAGUUCCCAGCCAUGACAGGACAGCAGGUUAGACACGACUUGUUAUACUCCCCUCCCUUUUCUGGUUUACAGACAAUUGACCCGCAUUAAAGUUAAAAUAGAGAUCCUAAGAUUGACAGAACAGAUUCUUUGUGGCAGCAACAUAACAAAUUACCAUGCCAGGCAAGGGUUAAGUUAUGCACCCCUACGCUUAAAGAAUAAACUAGGUUCUAACUGCAACAAGGAUUCUCUUUCUCUCUAGCAGCUAAACAAGCAGUGGCCUCACCAUAAACACUAAUAAAACACUUGCAGCCCUACCAGAUGCUGACUAACUGAACUCUACCAGCCAUAACUAUAGCUUUGACUGGACAAGAGAGUGAUUUCAGUAACUUUCUCCUGUUAAGAAGCCCACCGACCAUGGACUGGUUCUAGUGGGUUUACAGAGAUUGCGUACUUGAGUGCCUUCCUGUCCUGAAAAACCUUUUGAUGUACUGGGCCUGAUUGUAAUAUUUAAAUGUCGAGUCUUCUCUGUGAGAUGAACAUGGGUCAUAUGUAACAUACUUGUUUAAUAUGCAUUCAUCAGGACCACCUUUAUGAACAUUCACAGCUCUUCCUGUAACCUACUGAAUAUGCAUAUUUAGAUAACUUUUUCAGCAUAAAGCUCCAAGCCAACCCCUCCUCCUUUGAAGUGCCUGUCUCUGGGCUUCUGCUAGAGGAGGCUGUGCUUCCCAGCUUGCAAGAUAACCUGACAGGCUAUAACUCUUAAGAAGUAAUAGUUUCCUCUCUCCUUUUCCAAACUUACAGAUUUGUGAUUUUAAAAAGUUAACAUGACUUACUCCAUUGGGAGUGUUACUUAAAUGAACUGAUUUUAAAUCUCAAACAUACCAAUUACCAUACAUAUGGUAAAACUGAAGUCUGUGAGGGUAAAGCAAUUUCUCUGAGUUUCCACAGUAAGUGAAGGCUCUUCAAAGUGCCAUGCUGUUCAUCAACUUCGGAUGCUCUGCAAGUGGAGAUCUCUCCCUCAGGCAGUGGCAGGAAGAGACUCUGCCCAUCUCACUUCUGCCCACUUGAUACAAUGCUUUGGGAUUAUUUCUCCCCUCUUUCCACAGAAGAACAUCAGGAGUGGAUUGUUAUGUUUCUAUAUUACUUUGCAUGGGUCUCAUUCCUCAGCUUUUUCUGGUACAAGGUAGACUCUAAUCUUGAGGUGAGCACAUUCUAUUCUAUUCAUCUCCUCUAGGACACAAGCCACAGGAAUUCAGUGUUGACAAAGAUAGUUCUUGGUGUUGCUAAAGCUGCAGAAAUGACAGGAAGGACUCAGGAGAGAUUCUGCUUUUUUUUUUUUCCCCCAGCUCCUAUCAGACAUUCCCAGGUGGGGCUGGGGUAUUAUACCAUCUGGCUUCAGAAAUGCUCUAAGACUCCCUUUUACCCCUACCAUCUGCCAACUUCUGUCAACACAAACUGCUAAGAAAGGGAACCUAUUUUUCAGCCUAGUAUUCUUACUAUGGCAGAGAUAGAGAAAAGUCAUGCACAUAUUACAUAAGAUUGUCAAGAUCUGCCAGGGAUUCACCCUCUGCCUCUGAGCAAGACUGUUUCUAACACGAAUAGGAAGACUACCAGAGAAGGGAGAGAGAAAUCUGUUUCCUGUUUUCAAAAUCUCCAGAGGAGAUCCCUCAGCCAAGGAGAAGAGUCUUAACCCUAGUAACACACACAGCAUCCUUGAAACAAACAACAAAAGCGAUGUGGCCACAAGGAUAUGUGUGUAAUUCUUUGAUGGUGUGUUUGAUCUCGCCCCAGUUUGGCCUCACUUAAACUCAAAUCCAACAGCUUGGAAUGCAAUUUUAAAAUUCUGAGCAAUGACAAAUGUCUCACACAUGCUACCUUUUGUGCUUUCCUGGCCAAGCUGUUAUCUGCAGUUAUUUUCAAGAACAGAGUUCAUUUUUGUUCUUAUUUCUGAAUGGGGAAUUAUAUAAGGCUUGAUUUUGGCCACAGUGGAGGCAUGGAAGUUCAACCUAAGGAGGAGCAGAGUUUGCUAUCGCCUACAUUUGAUUGAUUUCAGGUUUAAACAGCAAGGCAUGAAGAUAAUCCAGAGAUGACCAGACUCUCUCUGGACAGCCUGUUUUCACCCUUGCCCUCCUUGAAACAGGUCACAUUCACAGCACUUACAUGCAUCCCCUAAAAAUACCAACUCCAAGCACAUUAGUGAAAUGGAUGUUGCACUGAAUACUCAGUGGGGAGAUGAAAAUUCACUCAACCCCACAGGAUAACUUAAGACUAGGAUGCCUAUGGACACUUGUGCUUCCCCAAGCCCCUAAAGCUGCCCUCCCCUGCAGCUGUCCAUCGCUGUUGUCUUUACCCACCUCCAUCUCUAAAACUCUCCCCUUAUUUAAAGAUAAUCUUUAUCAACACCAAAGCCAGUAACCAGCCAGAACACCUCCCCUACCACCAAGUUUCCCCAGGGUGCCAUCUUCCUUCUGCUUUCCUCUCCUAUCUCAGUGCCACUGCAAUCCCUGAAGUAGUUCAUCAACGUAUUUAUCCAACAAACUAGAUCUGUUCCUAAGGGGAAUUCUGCUGCAAAAUAAAUUUUAGUUUUCAUCCUAUUUUACCAAGCCAUUAAUAUAUGCUGUUAGCAGUAUGUGCUCAUUAAUCUUAACAAUAACCCUGUAAGCUGUUAUAAUUCCCAGCAUACUGAAAAGGUAACAGGGAGGGGCGUAGAGAAAUUCAGAGACUUACCCAUGCUAAGACUCCCGUUCCAGGUCUGCCAGGGUCCUUACCCACACAAGCUGCAGUGCAAAGGUGGGUGGCCCUGGGCAAUGUAAAAUGGGAGGAUGUGGAUAGGGCUUGGGUCUGGAGCUGCUUUCUCAACACUCCAAGCAGUACCCGUUCGCAUAUUCAAGCAGCUCCUGUGAGUUCCCUUUGGCUGAGAAGUUUCUGUCCUCUCCUGGGCCACCCUGCCCACAGAUAAAAUGCAAGUGAUUUAUUUUGUUGCUUACAAAGGUUAAGGGACUUGUGAAGGCCACAUAACUGUUAAAUGCUAUUGACACCUGGACUUAAUAAACCUAAUAGUAUCUAACAUCCAGGUGGCUAUUUGAAGCAUUAUGCCAUUAUGCCUCUUGAAAGGAAGUCUAGUCCUGGGUUAUGUUUAAAGGAGCAUUUCUUUCCUUUCCAAAAUGACUGCAGAAAGCCAACUAUCUAAGCAGGGAUUAGCAAUUCUACUUCUGAUCAGGGGAACUGACCUAUAUGGGGUAAAAGUGUGGGAUGGGGGAAGUCCCAUUUCCCCAUCACCCUCCUAAUAUUCCCCUGCCUGCUAUAGGGAGGACUUAGAAAAAUGGCUGGAGACUGAGCUAUAUUUAUUAGGGGUCAUUAAAACCCCUAAAAGGUUGUUUAAACAUCAUAUGCAUUUCCACUUCCUGCUCCAUGCUGUCAACCAGGCACAAGUACCAGGGCCUACUUUUUUUUUUUUUUGAGAUGGAGUCUUGCUCUCUCGCCCAGGCUGGAGUGCAGUGGUGUGAUAUCGGCUCACCGCAACCUCUGCCUCCCAGGGUCAAGUGAUUCUCCUGCCUCAGGUUCCUGAGUAGCGGGUAUUACAGGCGCCCACCACCACACCCGGCUAAUUUUUUGUAUUUUUAGUAGAGAUGGGGUUUCGCCAUGUUGGCCAGGCUGUUCUGAACUCCUGACCUCUAGUGAUCCGCCUGCCUCUGCCUCCCAAAGUGCUGGGAUUACAGGCGUAAGCCACUGCGCCCAAGGGCCUACUCUUUCCAAGCAGGCCCAAUGAGACGUUCUUCCCUGUCUCAGGCUUGGAAGCCAGAUGGUGGUAAGAUCUGGAUGUAGGAGGCAGAGGACAAACCUAAGCCAUGAGCCACAACCUAGCUGUUCCAAAGAUCUCUGAAAUAAGCUAAUACAAAGCAGUAUGUUGAUUUCCAUUUUGCUGUCUGCUCCUUGUGCAUUUAGCUCCAGGAGGGAGUUAAUAGGAGAGGGGUGAGUGGCAAGGCAGGAUAUGGUCAUUCCUUGGGCCCUGGUUGUGAUACUAACUUAAUAUAAUCAAAACCUAGGGUGACCAUAUAUCUAUAAUCCAUACCAGGACAAUUCUGAGAACAAAAAAGAGCACUAUUAAUUAUGCUAAGACAACAAUCCAUCCUCCAUAGCUGGAAUGCAUGGUCACCCUGUUAAAAAGUAAGAAAACCUACCCUGGGUCCUACCCUUACCUUUGAUCACAUGGAGACUUUAAUUUUUAUGUAUAACUAGAUGAGAAAACCUAAGUCCAAUAACAAUAGAUCAUUACAAAGAAAACAGCACUGGAAUACUCAAGGUCUUAGAAGAAAUAAGGUUAAAAUAAAAAAACAGCAGCAGACCUAUUUAAAAGUUGUUUUGUGGCUGGGCGCAGUGGCUCAUGCCUGUAAUCCAAGCACUUGGGGAGGCCGAGGUGGGGAGAUCAUUUAAGGCCAGGAGUUCGAGUCCAGCCUGGCCAACAUGGAGAAACCCCGUCUCUACUAAAAACACAAAAAUAAGCCAGGGGUAGCGGUGCAUGCCUGUAAUCCUAGGUAUUCGGGAGGCUGAGGCAGGAGAAUCACUUGAACCUGGUCAGUGGAAGUUGCGGUGAGCCAAGAUUGAGCCACUGUACUCCAGCCUCGGUGACAGAGUGAAACUCUGUCUCAAAAAAAAAAAAAGGUUAUGUUCUGCCCAGGCCCUCUAUUUGAAGUUUUCAUGAAACCAUCUCAUUUGUGGAAAGCAUUUUAGUUUAGAGUACUUCUACGGGCAUGCUCUAAGCCUGUGAGGCAGGUCACAGGUUUAGCACCAUGACAGAAGCUGUGCAGCAAGCAGCAGAGGCAAGACUCAAGUCCAGUAUCUGGGUUAGCCCAGUGUUUCCUCCCGUACCCAUGCUGUGACCCCUCAUGGCCUCUGCUCUGCAUGGGCCACAAGCUUGUGUCCUGAACUUAGAAUAUCUGGGGGAAGGCAGAGGACAACAUGAAAUGACGCCCAUGGGAGACAGGGAACCAAAAGGAACAUCUGUUGCCUGAAUCAAAAUUAACUGCAAAGCCAGUCAUUAGCACUGCACAUCAUCAAAACAGGAGAGAUCUGUGUCCAUUUAUUUUCAAAGCCAUCCUGGACUUGGCGGGAAAAAAAAAUGCUGCCUAAUCCCAACACGAUUUUUCAAAUAGUUUUCCAAGAUUCUAAAUCUUAUAUGUAAAUUAACUGGCAAAGGAUUAAAACCCAACAUUUAAAAUAGUGGUACUUAAUGAGGGGCAGCACAUACCUUCAAGGGGGCAUUUGGAAAUGCGUAUGGUCAUUUGAGUUGUGACUUGGGUGGGGGGGUCACAAAGAGGAUGACUCCUCUUCAAGUCAAUAAAUUUCAGUGACAUAGAAGAAAAAGGUGACCGGGUCCAUAGUCAGUGACUUGCAAUCACAGACAAGCCUAUCAUUUGUGGGAUUACUGGGCUUCUGAGAAGCAGCCCAUGGUGGAUUGACGACAAUACAGCACUUGCUGUCCUCCAGGGCUACACUCAGCAGAACACCUGGGAGUUCUGUAGAUCUGCCAAUCUCAUUUCACGGAAAUGGGACUGUGAUGUGUUCAUGCAAAACACGCUGUCCCUACUCAAAACAGUACGCUCUGAUGAAGUCUACAUAGCACAUAUACUUCACCUGUAUGAAAUGGAUUUGGAAAUUACAUGACUCAUUUAGUUCUUCCUCUCCUUAGCCUGUGAAACUAAUUUCUUCCUUGAGGUAUUGAGAUUUAGGUAAAACAGGGUUAGAGAAGCACAAAUAAUCCUGCUGCAUUCAAACUAAGUCAAAAAGUAUCAGAAGAUCUAAAGGACUAACUUGAUUUAAACUUUUCCUGGCAUGACAAAAAGACUGACGUUUCCCAAAAGAAAUUCCCCAAACUGCCAAAGACAGGGGCUGCUGAUGGAGCCAUACUUACUGAGCUGAUUCAUAUUGCUGGGAGGAUCUGAUGAGAAUAAUGAAGAUUUCAGAGAUCAAAGUUUCCACUCUCUGUGGUUCUAAGAAUGUCUCAGUUUUGUCCAAGUCACAAACAACCCCUGGGCUUUAACUAUCUAACCAGAAACUAUAUGUCAUCCUCUGUUGGGGUUACUUUAAAUGAGCACCUGUAUGUCAAGUUUGAUGCAAGUGUGUAUAGUAUUGAGAGGAUGUCCUAGAAGCCCAAAGUAAAGCACUCCUUUCUCUCCUCAGCUAAAUGAAUGAUGUUCUAUCUUGCAGAUCCAUUUUCAAUCAAUGGAUAAGGGUGUUCAAUUCUCAGCAGAGCACUGAAGAAGUCUUUUGCAGACAAUAAUUAGCAGCAAUUCACAGAGAGAUGAGUCAUUUAUGCCUUUAAUGUUACAUGUACAAAACUGUGUAUUAGUGACGACUUAUGAGGGUGCUGAAGACA
RNAcentral lists this long non-coding RNA (10485 nucleotides) under Homo sapiens (human). RNAcentral's name for it is "HSALNT0046945". The record is from RNAcentral. Lineage: Eukaryota; Metazoa; Chordata; Mammalia; Primates; Hominidae.